Molecule: ribosomal RNA, 465 nt
Filed under: uncultured bacterium
Lineage: Bacteria
Description: bacterial SSU rRNA
Rfam family: Bacterial small subunit ribosomal RNA
Source: RNAcentral
CCUACGGGUUGCACCAGUGGGGAAUUUUGGACAAUGGGCGCAAGCCUGAUCCAGCAAUGCCGCGUGAGCGAAGAAGGCCUUCGGGUUGUAAAGCUCUUUUGUCAGGGAAGAAACGGGAUUGGCUAAUAUCCAGUCCUAAUGACGGUACCUGAAGAAUAAGCACCGGCUAACUACGUGCCAGCAGCCGCGGUAAUACGUAGGGUGCAAGCGUUAAUCGGAAUUACUGGGCGUAAAGCGUGCGCAGGCGGUUUUGUAAGUCUGUCGUGAAAUCCCCGGGCUCAACCUGGGAAUUGCGAUGGAGACUGCAAGGCUAGAAUCUGGCAGAGGGGGGUAGAAUUCCACGUGUAGCAGUGAAAUGCGUAGAGAUGUGGAGGAACACCGAUGGCGAAGGCAGCCCCCUGGGUCAGGAUUGACGCUCAUGCACGAAAGCGUGGGGAGCAAACAGGAUUAGAUACCCUCGUAGUC